Non-coding RNA from Pelobates cultripes (western spadefoot toad), 315 nucleotides. Lineage: Eukaryota; Metazoa; Chordata; Amphibia; Anura; Pelobatidae. The record is from the annotation of a GenBank genome assembly.
CCUUAUCCAAUUCACAAUGAAUAAUGUCUAAAUUUAAAUCACUGCUAAGAAUGAUAGCAACUCCUCUUUUCUUAUUGUUAGUUAGGGAAGCAUGAUAGAACCUAGAAUAUCUAUUACCUCCCCACUUCUGUUGGGAGUAUCGAAGCCAGUGGGUUUCUUGUAAAAGGGCAAUUUGAAUUUUCUCUUGAAUUAGAGAAUAAUACAACCUAUUUCUUUUCUUCACCGUGUUUAGCCCUUGGACAUUUAAGGACAAUAUUUUUAGCAUAAGCGCAUUGAGUGUCUGUAUAUUCCACUAAUCCCACUCUGAAAAACAUA